UACGUAGGGUGCAAGCGUUGUCCGGAAUUAUUGGGCGUAAAGAGCUCGUAGGCGGUCUGUCGCGUCGGCUGUGAAAACUCGGGGCUCAACUCCGAGCUUGCAGUCGAUACGGGCAGGCUAGAGUUCGGCAGGGGAGACUGGAAUUCCUGGUGUAGCGGUGAAAUGCGCAGAUAUCAGGAGGAACACCGGUGGCGAAGGCGGUGGGCUGGGCCGGCACUGACGCUGAGGAGCGAAAGCGUGGGGAGCGAACAGG
Molecule: ribosomal RNA, 253 nt
Filed under: uncultured bacterium
Lineage: Bacteria
Description: partial 16S ribosomal RNA
Rfam family: Bacterial small subunit ribosomal RNA
Source: RNAcentral